UACGUAGGGGGCUAGCGUUGUCCGGAAUCAUUGGGCGUAAAGCGCGUGUAGGCGGUCCGGUAAGUCCGCUGUGAAAGUCGGGGGCUCAACCCUCGGAUGCCGGUGGAUACUGUCGGGCUAGAGUGCGGAAGAGGCGAGUGGAAUUCCUGGUGUAGCGGUGAAAUGCGCAGAUAUCAGGAGGAACACCCGUGGCGAAAGCGGCUCUCUGGGACGGUACUGACGCUGAGACGCGAAAGCGUGGGGAGCAAACAGG
Molecule: ribosomal RNA, 253 nt
Filed under: uncultured bacterium
Lineage: Bacteria
Description: partial 16S ribosomal RNA
Rfam family: Bacterial small subunit ribosomal RNA
Source: RNAcentral